Molecule: ribosomal RNA, 492 nt
Filed under: uncultured bacterium
Lineage: Bacteria
Description: partial 16S ribosomal RNA
Rfam family: Bacterial small subunit ribosomal RNA
Source: RNAcentral
AGUGAACGCUGGCGGUAGGCCUAACACAUGCAAGUCGAACGGCAGCACAGUAAGAGCUUGCUCUUACGGGUGGCGAGUGGCGGACGGGUGAGGAAUACAUCGGAAUCUACUUUUUCGUGGGGGAUAACGUAGGGAAACUUACGCUAAUACCGCAUACGACCUACGGGUGAAAGCAGGGGAUCUUCGGACCUUGCGCGAUUGAAUGAGCCGAUGUCGGAUUAGCUAGUUGGCGGGGUAAAGGCCCACCAAGGCGACGAUCCGUAGCUGGUCUGAGAGGAUGAUCGGCAACACGGGAACUGAGACACGGUCCAGACUCCUACGGGAGGCAGCAGUGGGGAAUAUUGGACAAUGGGGGCAAGCCUGAUCCAGCCAUACCGCGUGGGUGAAGAAGGCCUUCGGGUUGUAAAGCCCUUUUGUUGGGAAAGAAAAGCAGCAGGUUAAUACCCCGCUGUUCUGACGGUACCCAAAGAAUAAGCACCGGCUAACUUCGUG